RNAcentral lists this ribosomal RNA (119 nucleotides) under Pteropus alecto (black flying fox). Lineage: Eukaryota; Metazoa; Chordata; Mammalia; Chiroptera; Pteropodidae. The record is from RNAcentral.
UUCUACGGCCGUGCCACCCUGAACAAGCCCGAUCCCAUCUGAUCUCAGAAGCUAAGCUGGGUUGGGCCUGAUUAGUACUUGGAUGAGAGACCACCUAGGAAGACCAGGUGCUGUAGGCA